AUAUGGUGUUACAUGGCAUAUAAGUGAUGCAUUUGUAUUGCACUACGCAUACUGAUAUUGGUAUGUGCAUAGCAGACUUAAGUUUACAACAGCAUUAUUUAAUAAAAGCACAAGCACGCGGCAUAUGCGGUUGCAUUCUAGCAACAAGUAUAUAUAUAUAUAUAUACUGUUGUGAUGCCAACUAUCAUUAUAUACUAAUAAUGCUUUCUAGCAACAAGCACGGCAUAUACUAAUAAUGUUUUUGUGAUGCCAACUAUCAUUAUAUAUAUAUAUAUAUAUAUAUACAUAUAUUAAUUAUGCUUUUGUGAGUGCCGAUUAUAAUGAAAUACUAUUGAUAAAGAACGA
This 345-nucleotide long non-coding RNA is filed under the name Malus domestica (apple). Its description in RNAcentral is "long non-coding RNA (MDOM_LNC004925)". The record is from RNAcentral. Lineage: Eukaryota; Viridiplantae; Streptophyta; Magnoliopsida; Rosales; Rosaceae.